This 243-nucleotide ribosomal RNA is filed under the name uncultured bacterium. RNAcentral's name for it is "partial 16S ribosomal RNA". It matches the Rfam family "Bacterial small subunit ribosomal RNA", at positions 63 to 334 of the family's 1533-position model. The record is from RNAcentral.
CGAGCGACGCUUCGAGCGGAGCGGCGGACGAGCGAGUAACACGUUGGUACAUGCCCCGAACUCAGGGAUAACCCGUCGAAAGACGUGGCUAAUACCGGAUAGUCCCGUAAGGGUAAAGAUUUUUCGGUUCGGGAGUGGCCUGCGGCCUAUCAGCUUGUUGGCGGGGUAAAAGCCCACCAAGGCUACGACGGGUAACUGGUCUGAGAGGAUGAUCAGUCGCGAUGGGACUGAGACACGGCCCAU